UGGUUAGUGGCACGUGCACGUAUUUCAUUUUAAGAAAAUGAAUUUUAAGUGUCCAAGGUCCAUUACAGACUGGUCAACGUGACCCUGGGGAUCCUGGCGAGGUCAUUUGAGAGUAUCUCAACAGAACAUCCAACUUCUUUCCCAUUUUAAUUCUUAGUUUAAUUGGGCAAUUAUACAUACUGACUUAAUUUUAUUCAAUUAGAUAAGAGGAUUCGUUAACAAAAUAUUGGUGAUGCCCAUUUAGAAGUCUACUAAAAGAGACUUACAGUAUCAACAUCCUAUUUGAAAAUUUGGGUCAAUCAUAUUCUUCGAAGAACCUUUGUUAAUACAAAUGUGGGCUCCAGAACAUAAAAGUGCAAAGACAGCUGUAGGUACAAACUGAAACAACUAAAAAGGUAAGUGAGGUGGUUAAUUUGUGAGAAGGGAUGUUACCUUGACUCCGAGCUAUAGCGAGAGAACAAAAGUAAUAGACACACACCUUACAGCUAUAAGAUUAGAAAAUUUUCAGGAGAACACUGAGAUUUUGAAAGUUCUCUUGCUACGCACUUGGACCAAAAAGUAAUCAGUCGCCCACAAGCCAAGAGCAGCUCUUUAACAAUUAAAAGAUCGAAUAAAGACUCUGCAUCAAGUUCGCCCAUUAACUGUAUCAUAUUCCAAAGGCUAGUCCAGGGCAGGUUUAAUAAGCAUGAUUCAUUUAACAACACCAACUUGCUCUUCUUCUUUCUAUGCAUCAAUCCAGCCAGGCCAGGUUUAAUAAGCAUGAUUCAUUUAACAACACCAACUUGCUCUUCUUCUUUCUAUGCAUCAAUCCAAACCAUAAUCUUAAUCCGGCAGAAUUAGAAAAUUACAAGUCAAGCAGUACAAUGAAUAAGCACUAAAACGGACUCAAGGGAGCAUGCAAUUAAGGUAGCGAUGUAAGAUAUGAAUGAAUCAAAAGGAAAAAGAAUGAAGAAUCAUUAAACUUGAAUGAACUAUCAUGUCAAGUUCCACCAACAGCUUAACUUCUGAAAUAUC
Molecule: long non-coding RNA, 1014 nt
Filed under: Nicotiana benthamiana
Lineage: Eukaryota; Viridiplantae; Streptophyta; Magnoliopsida; Solanales; Solanaceae
Description: long non-coding RNA (NBEN_LNC025077)
Source: RNAcentral